Long non-coding RNA from Macadamia integrifolia, 1157 nucleotides. RefSeq lists it as uncharacterized. The transcript is spliced from 2 exons. NCBI's taxonomy places the organism in Eukaryota, Viridiplantae, Streptophyta, Magnoliopsida, Proteales, Proteaceae. The record is from RefSeq and is a predicted model, not a curated record.
CAAGAAACAUAAAUGACGAAACAAGUUUUACUUGUUUCGCUUGUUUCUCGAAACAAAAAAGCGGAACAAUGGUUCGACAAUCCGACCAUUUUAAAAAUCGACAGAGAAUAUCCCUGUACAACCGUUGAAGACGACGGUUCCCCAGUUCACCGAGAUCUCUUCUACCCCUGCGUAACCGACGACGAGGAAGCAACGAUCUCCUCCUGCGUAACCGACGACGGGGAGCGGUGAAGGAUGAUCCGUGGGACCCGUUGAUGGCUUUUAAUCUACCCCUUUCUUUCCCACCCGCACCCUCAUCCUCUGAAAAUCGUGAGUGAGCGGAGCGGAGCCCUAAAUUGCGGUUUUCUCAAGACUGCUUGAAGCCGCUUGAAGGAGAAGGAGAAGGAGAAGGAAGCAACUGAUGAAGAAUCGCCCUUUGAAAAUCAUGACGAACCCUAAGUGAGAUUGAAGCAGUUUGAAGGAGAAGGAGAAGGAAGCAACUGGUCGCUGAAUCGCCCUUUGAAAAUUGUGAGGAGCCCUUCAAGUUCUUGCGAUUUGGUGCCCAUACUCUGCAGCUUUCAUUUGCAGCAGUUGAAGAAUACUUGUACGAACUUUGUGCUCCCUCCUUCCACUCCUACUGUGGGGAUCAGAACAUCAGUUACCCUUUCUCCAAAUCCCCCAAUGAGGAAUGUGGGCUAGGCAUCAUCCAUUGUGAUGGACAAUACUCGACACCAUUUAUCAGUUUUGAGUAAGAUCAAAACAGGGUUGAGGUCAAAAGCAUCGACUACAGAGAUGAGAAUAUUGGAAUUCAUGACCUAAGAUUCACGGACCUCAUACUAUGGAACGACUGCAUUAGACUCUACAAUCUCACUCACCCACACUUUUCCGAUCAUCUUUCCUUCCGACUGAUAAGCCCCAACAAUAUUACCUUCCGAAUAUGCAACAAAAUUUUCUAAGCAUUGUCCUGGCUAGGAAUGAAAGGGGUUUAAGUAGUUGUAUAGUCAAUUUUCUAUCAUUGAAGUAUUCUGGAAGUUAGUGGCUUGUUCAAAAUUCAAACAAGCCAUACAGGAAUAAGCUGAGGUUCUUACCUUCUGUGGAGAAAGAUCGUUCUGGAUUUACCCAUUGCAGUUUUAAUCCAACAAUUUCCAUAUCUAAUAAACAUCAUAUUCUGUCCAAAA